AGUGAACGCUGGCGGUAGGCCUAACACAUGCAAGUCGAACGGCAGCACAGGAGAGCUUGCUCUCUGGGUGGCGAGUGGCGGACGGGUGAGGAAUACAUCGGAAUCUACCUUUUCGUGGGGGAUAACGUAGGGAAACUUAUGCUAAUACCGCAUACGACCUACGGGUGAAAGUGGGGGACCGCAAGGCCUCACGCGAUUAGAUGAGCCGAUGUCCGAUUAGCUAGUUGGCGGGGUAAUGGCCCACCAAGGCGACGAUCGGUAGCUGGUCUGAGAGGAUGAUCAGCCACACUGGAACUGAGACACGGUCCAGACUCCUACGGGAGGCAGCAGUGGGGAAUAUUGGAUAAUGGGCGCAAGCCUGAUCCAGCCAUACCGCGUGGGUGAAGAAGGCCUUCGGGUUGUAAAGCCCUUUUGUUGGGAAAGAAAUCCUGUCGAUUAAUACUCGGUGGGGAUGACGGUACCCAAAGAAUAAGCACCGGCUAACUUCGUGCCAGCCGCCGCCGUAA
RNAcentral lists this ribosomal RNA (506 nucleotides) under uncultured bacterium. RNAcentral's name for it is "partial 16S ribosomal RNA". It matches the Rfam family "Bacterial small subunit ribosomal RNA", at positions 29 to 523 of the family's 1533-position model. The record is from RNAcentral.